This 747-nucleotide ribosomal RNA is filed under the name uncultured bacterium. RNAcentral's name for it is "bacterial SSU rRNA". It matches the Rfam family "Bacterial small subunit ribosomal RNA", at positions 20 to 788 of the family's 1533-position model. The record is from RNAcentral.
UGGCUCAGGAUGAACGCUGACUAAAUGCUUAACACAUGCAAGUCUACUUGAACUUCGGUUUGUGUGGGGGACCGAUGAUGGACACCGGAACAACUUGGCUCAACGUUUAUGACAACUUUUGAUAACCAAUGCAUAUCCCUGAUAUUAUGAUUUUAAGGCCUCCUGUGAUCAUGAAAUGUAUUUGCCCUGUGACAGAGCGUUGCGUCCCAUUAGCUGGUUAGAGAGGUAACUACUCACCUGGGCGAUGAUGGGUCCCCGGCCUGAGAGGGUGAACGGGGUUCAGGGGACUGAGUCCCGGCCCUUACUCCUACGGGAGGCAGCAGAGGGGAAUAUUGGGCAAUGGACCAAAAGUCUGAUCCAUGGGUUCUGUGUGCACGAUGACGUUUUUCGUGAAUGUACGACGGUUCUAUGUGUUAAGAACUGCUUGACUGCACCAACAGAUUAAGUGACGUGUGGAUACUUGCCAGCAUUGCAUGAAAUACGAAUGUCUCAUUCGUUGUCAGGAUUCAUUGUGAUUCAGGCGGGUCUGGGUGGAUAUGUAUUUCUGAUGUGUAAAUGCAGGGCUCAACUCUGUUUUGCGUUGUAGACUGUGUCACUAGAGCACUGUAUGAGUUGCGCGACUACUGGUGUGGCUUGUGAAUGCUGUAGAUAUGCGUGAGUAUGCGGUGUGGCGAUGCCAGUGUUACUGAUACAGAUACUGACGCCCGAUCGCGAAAGCGUGUGACUGCAAACUUGACUGACUCUCAU